UACGUAGGGCGCAAGCGUUGUCCGGAAUUAUUUGGGCGUAAAGAGCUCGUAGGCGGUCUGUCGCGCGGCUGUGAAAAACUCGGGGCUCAACCCCGAGCCUCAGUCAUACGGGGCAGACUAGAGUUCGGUAGGGGGAGACUGGAAUUCCUGGUGUAGCGGGUGAAAAUGCGCAGAUAUCAGGAGGAACACCGGUGGCGAAGGCGGGUCUCUGGGGCCGAUACUACGUGAGGGAGCGAAAAGCGUGGGGGGAGCAAAACAGGGAUUUAGAAA
Molecule: ribosomal RNA, 270 nt
Filed under: uncultured bacterium
Lineage: Bacteria
Description: partial 16S ribosomal RNA
Rfam family: Bacterial small subunit ribosomal RNA
Source: RNAcentral